CUGUGUUCACUGACAGACCUUAAAUAAUACUCUGUGCUUCUUCUGGUUUGCAGUAGGAGGCAAAAGAAAAAAGUCUCUGCACUUUCUAUCUGGUCUUUGUGGUGGCCCAGAAUAAGUAGGGAAACAUAU
This 129-nucleotide small nucleolar RNA is filed under the name Mustela putorius furo (domestic ferret). RNAcentral describes it as "Small nucleolar RNA SNORA31 (ENSMPUG00000020203.1)". It matches the Rfam family "Small nucleolar RNA SNORA31". Rfam says of the family: ACA31 (SNORA31) belongs to the H/ACA class of snoRNAs which are thought to guide the sites of modification of uridines to pseudouridines. ACA31 is predicted to guide the pseudouridylation of U3713 in 28S rRNA and U218 in 18S rRNA. This family includes the mouse homologue snoMBI-161. Lineage: Eukaryota; Metazoa; Chordata; Mammalia; Carnivora; Mustelidae. The record is from RNAcentral.